GUUCUUAUAGUUUAAAGCAAAACAAUGAUUUUGUAUAUCAUAAAUAUUAAUAUUUAGAAC
RNAcentral lists this transfer RNA (60 nucleotides) under Hypsibius dujardini. RNAcentral describes it as "transfer RNA-Thr". Lineage: Eukaryota; Metazoa; Tardigrada; Eutardigrada; Parachela; Hypsibiidae. The record is from RNAcentral.